Molecule: ribosomal RNA, 429 nt
Filed under: Acidobacteriota bacterium
Lineage: Bacteria; Pseudomonadati; Acidobacteriota
Description: Acidobacteria bacterium partial 16S ribosomal RNA
Rfam family: Bacterial small subunit ribosomal RNA
Source: RNAcentral
UGGGGAAUUUUGGACAAUGGGGGAAACCCUGAUCCAGCCAUCCCGCGUGUGCGAUGAAGGCCUUCGGGUUGUAAAGCACUUUUGGCAGGAAAGAAACGUCAUGGGUUAAUACCCCGUGAAACUGACGGUACCUGCAGAAUAAGCACCGGCUAACUACGUGCCAGCAGCCGCGGUAAUACGUAGGGCGCAAGCGUUAAUCGGAAUUACUGGGCGUAAAGCGUGCGCAGGCGGUUCGGAAAGAAAGAUGUGAAAUCCCAGAGCUCAACUUUGGAACUGCAUUUUUAACUACCGGGCUAGAGUGUGUCAGAGGGAGGUGGAAUUCCGCGUGUAGCAGUGAAAUGCGUAGAUAUGCGGAGGAACACCGAUGGCGAAGGCAGCCUCCUGGGAUAACACUGACGCUCAUGCACGAAAGCGUGGGGAGCAAACAGG